GCUUGUCAGAUAAGGUGUUAAAACAGGCAGCACUCAGGCUCCACUGUGUUAAACCCCUCUACAGAUGUGUCUCGGGUGUUUCUUCCCUCAAGUUUCAACACAGCAGCUUUCUGAAAACCUCUAACAUUUCACAGGUCCUGAAUUUUUGAUGCUGAUAUAUUGCUCAGAGUACCAUGAACAGAUUUGUGUGGACAGAGAUAAAUUCUUCUGUUUAAAAGGGGAAAGGCAGUAAAAAUCAGAAGUGUUCUUCUCACGUAGCCUCCCACUCCUUGUGUUCCUUGUUUGUAUUUUUUACCAAUUCCAACCUGUCAGGCUGUGCUGCUUCCAGUUCAUGGCCAGAACACCCUGGGGAUGAUAAGGAGUGGUGGGGCUCACUCACCUUUGUCCUCGAGGCAUUAGCAGGUGAAAUGUGCUGGGUGUUCGCAAGGGACAGUGCUCAUGGGCUGAGCUUUGGAAACAUCAAACUCAUUUUUAUCAGUCCCUGAAUAGGGUUAAAACUCAUGGGUGAUGAAGAACUUUUGCAUCCUCGUGGUUCUUAAAAGAUCUCUUGAUUUCUCCCUCAUGUUUCUGUUGUUCAGUUAACACCCUCUGGUCUGGUUUUGAUGUGAAAUAAAGUUGGGUCCUGUGGAGCCCUAUUUCUGUUUCGGGACAUUUUCCACAAUUCUUAAUUUGCACAGUGUUUUAGAGUCUUUGCAAGGCAUAUCUCCCAUGAUUUUUAUUUUAACUGCAUGGUUCGUGUAUUAAAAAUUAUUAAAUAAUUCUCCUAUUCUCCUAUUUUAGGAAGAAGUUUUUCCUUACCCAGAAAUUAGCAAUGAAGAACUGGCAGAAAUCAACCAGUUUGUGGGACCUGUUGAAAAGUUCUUCAAUGAAGAAGUGGACUCGAAGAAAAUCGAUCAAGAUGCAAAAAUCCCACCCGAAACCUUACAAGGACUGAAGGACCUGGGUCUCUUUGGCAUGCAGAUUCCAGAGGAAUAUGGUGGGCUGGGCCUGUCAAACACCAUGUAUGCACGUCUGGGAGAAAUCAGCUCCCUGGAUGGCUCCAUUGCAGUGACCCUGGCAGCUCACCAGGCCAUUGGGCUGAAGGGGAUCCUCAUUGCUGGCACCGAGGAGCAGAAGGCCAAGUACCUGCCCCGCCUGGCCUCGGGGGAGCACAUUGCUGCCUUCUGCCUCACCGAGCCCGGCAGUGGGAGUGAUGCUGCAUCCAUCCAGACAAGGGCAACCCUGAGUGAAGAUGGGAAACACUUCCUGUUAAAUGGCUCCAAGGUCUGGAUCUCCAAUGGUGGCCUGGCCAGUAUUUUCACAGUGUUUGCCAGGACAGAGAUUGUGGACAAGGACGGGCAGGUGAAGGAUAAAAUCACUGCUUUCAUCGUGGAGCGGGACUUCGGGGGCGUCACCCAUGGGAAACCCGAGGAUAAACUGGGCAUUCGAGGCUCCAACACCUGUGAAGUACAUUUUGAAAACACCAAAGUGCCUAUAGAGAAUGUAAUUGGAGAAGUUGGAGGGGGAUUUAAGGUUGCCAUGAAUAUCCUCAACAGUGGAAGAUUUAGCAUGGGCAGUGCAUCUGCUGGAAUGAUUAAGAAGUUGAUAGAACUGACAUCAGAGUAUGCUUGCACCAGGAAACAAUUCAAUAAGAAACUCAGCCAGUUUGGAUUAAUUCAGGAGAAGUUUUGUUUGAUGGCUGUGAAAGCCUACGUGAUGGAGAGCAUGGCUUACCUGACUGCAGGGAUGAUGGACAGGCCAGGCUUCCCUGACUGCUCCGUCGAGGCUGCCAUGGUCAAGGUGUUCAGCUCUGAAGGUGCCUGGGCAUGUGUGAGUGAGGCUCUGCAGAUCCUUGGAGGCCUUGGCUACAUGAAGGAUUAUCCUUAUGAACGCUACCUCAGAGACACCAGGAUCCUGCUCAUCUUUGAGGGCACCAAUGAAAUCCUGAGAAUGUACAUUGCACUGACAGGGAUGCAGCAUGCAGGGAAGAUCUUAACUGACAAAAUUAAAGCAAUCAAGAAAGGAAACGUGGGAGUGGCGCUGGGGGAGUUCCUGACCAGGUUACAGGACACCCUGGGCAGGAAGGUGGAUCUGGGGCUUGUAGGUGACAGUGGGGUGGUGCAUCCCAGCCUCCAGGUAAGGGCCUCUCUGCUGAGCUCUUGUGUUUGUUCCCUUUGCUGCUUGCCACAAUUUCAUCUCCUGUUUUUGCAAACCAAAAUGUAUACCUAGGGGCAGUGAGAUUUUCCAGGGUAAGCAGAUGUUGGCACCAUGACAGGGUAAGAAGUUACAGUUAUUGUCCAGGUAUCAAGGGAGGAUGAAGGCUGCUCUAAGCCUGUGUUUAUACCAAAUCCAGUUUUAGAUCCAUUUGGAUAAUUUGUAUAAAUUGAGCCUUCACCAUAUGAAAGCGUUUUUAAUAGCUGCCCUUUGUUAUAAGGUUAGUUACAAAACAGGAGUUUUUCCUGUUUAAUUGGAACAGAGUUUCAGGUCAGAAUGACUGUGAAUUACACAUACACAUACUUGCUUAAUCACUUAGGAAAAGGUUUUUAUGACCAAAAAUGAAUGUUCUGUUAAUAGGAAAAAGAUAAGGUAUAUUUUUCAUGGGGCGUUCUGUUAGUUACUUUUGUUAUCAUAAGCCUAUACUAAAAGUUACUGAGAGUAAACUCCAGAAAAUUGUAAUGGAUCUUUGAGAGAAAGAAAUGUGCCUGUCUGGCUUUUAGCAGCAAGGUGGAUGAAUGUUAAAAAAGAGAAAAUCCAGUAUCCUCUUUAAAGGGGGUGGGGGUAUGUUGCUUUUCUGUUAUAAGACUACUCAAAUUGUUCUAUUUUGUGUUUUGUUUUAUAGGAGAAUGCCAAGAAACUUGAAGAAAACGUUUAUUAUUUUGGAACUACAGUCAGGGGCCUGCUAAGUAGGUUUGGCAAGACAAUAGUGGAUGAGCAGCUGGUGCUGAAGAGAGUGGCAGAUGUGGUGAUUAAUUUGUAUGCAAUGACUGCAGCCAUCUCCCGGGCCAGCCGCUCCAUCAGCAUCGGGCUCAGGAACCAUGACCACGAGGUGCUUCUUACAAAUAUCUUCUGCACAGAAGCCUAUUUCAAGAAUAAUUAUGCCAUGGCUCAAUUAGAAAAAUGUAAGUACUAUAAAAUAGUUCUUACGCUCUUCUGUCUUUCAGACUGUAAUCAAAAAAAGGUGAGUUUGAUGUGACCAACAGAAGAGUUUGGCUCCGCUUUUAAUUGAAACAAGCAGCAGAGCUGGAACCUGUUGAAAAGAGUCUCUUCACUUCAUAGCUAAAGCCAACUGCCAGCGUUCCUUAUUGAGGAAUAUAAUAUCUACAUUUCAUGUAUAUACUUCUGACAAGUAGCUGAUAGAAAUGAGGGAUUUGGACUCUUUGGGAAGUACUGACCAGUUGGGCAUUGGCUCUCUGAAGCUCAGUCUGUAAUAACCAAUCUUUUUCAGAAGAAAAUGUUCAAUUUCUUCCUGGCCCUCACACUCUUGCAUUUGUGUUCAAAAACACUUCUUGAAAGAAAUUUACAACAGCUCUUUGU
Passer domesticus (house sparrow) is the source of this 3513-nucleotide RNA transcript. It is a transcript of the gene named complex I assembly factor ACAD9, mitochondrial-like, with no coding region annotated. Lineage: Eukaryota; Metazoa; Chordata; Aves; Passeriformes; Passeridae. The transcript has 15 exons. The record is from RefSeq and is a predicted model, not a curated record.